CUUUUGGUGUUUCUAGCGGCGGACGGGUGAGUAACGCGUGAGCAAUCUGUCUCAGACAGGGGGAUAACGCAGCGAAAGUUGCACUAAUACCGCAUAAGACCACAGAGCCACAUGGCAUAGGGGUCAAAGGAGCAAUCCGGUCUGAGGUGAGCUCGCGUCCCAUUAGGUAGUUGGUGAGAUAACGGCCCACCAAGCCUGCGAUGGGUAGCCGACCUGAGAGGGUGAUCGGCCACACUGGAACUGAGACACGGUCCAGACUCC
Molecule: ribosomal RNA, 261 nt
Filed under: uncultured bacterium
Lineage: Bacteria
Description: partial 16S ribosomal RNA
Rfam family: Bacterial small subunit ribosomal RNA
Source: RNAcentral